Molecule: ribosomal RNA, 755 nt
Filed under: Codinaea lithocarpi
Lineage: Eukaryota; Fungi; Ascomycota; Sordariomycetes; Chaetosphaeriales; Chaetosphaeriaceae
Description: partial large subunit ribosomal RNA
Rfam family: Eukaryotic large subunit ribosomal RNA
Source: RNAcentral
GUGAAGCGGCAACAGCUCAAAUUUGAAAUCUGGCCCCCCGGCCCGAGUUGUAAUUUGCAGAGGAUGCUUCUGGCGCGGUGCCUUCCAAGUCCCCUGGAACGGGGCGCCAUAGAGGGUGAGAGCCCCGUCCGGUUGGCCGCCAAGCCUGUGUGAAGCUCCUUCGACGAGUCGAGUAGUUUGGGAAUGCUGCUCUAAAUGGGAGGUAGACCCCUUCUAAAGCUAAAUACCGGCCAGAGACCGAUAGCGCACAAGUAGAGUGAUCGAAAGAUGAAAAGCACUUUGAAAAGAGGGUUAAACAGUACGUGAAAUUGUUGAAAGGGAAGCGCUUGUGACCAGACGUGCACCGGGUGUUCAGCGGGCGUUCUCGCCCGUGCAUUCGCCCCGGUGCAGGCCAGCGUCGGUUCGGGCGGGGGGAUAAAGGCGCCAGGAACGUAUCUCCCCCGGGAGUGUUAUAGCCUGGCGCGUCAUGCCCCCGCCUGGACCGAGGUUCGCGCUCCGCAAGGACGCUGGCGUAAUGGUCCCCAGCGGCCCGUCUUGAAACACGGACCAAGGAGUCGAGGUUUUACGCGAGUGUCUGGGUGUCAAACCCGCACGCGUAAUGAAAGUGAACGUAGGUGGGAGCUUCGGCGCACCACCGACCGAUCCUGAUGUUUUCGGAUGGAUUUGAGUAGGAGCGUAGGGCCUCGGACCCGAAAGAUGGUGAACUAUACUUGGAUAGGGUGAAGCCAGAGGAAACUCUGGUGGAGGCUCGCAGC